UGACUCAAAGGCCAGUACAGCAUAGCAGAAACCUUUCCAGGCAAACAGGGAUUAGCCACCAGCAUACACUGAGCCCUGUAUUUGACAGAACCCCAAGAAAACCAAGUUUUCUUCACUUGCCCUCCAGCUCUUCCGGAAGGACAGUGUACAUAUGCCUGUUUAUCUGUCUAUCUUCUGCAUGGUUUCCAACUGCUUUCCUAUUCUCUCCCAUCUCUGAAUCACCUUUUGACUCUUGUUUCUUCUUGUCCUCACUGACUCAUCUAAUUUCUAUGCCAUUCACAGACUGCUUCUCAUUUUUUUCUUUCAUAUCUUUCUCUCUGUCCCCUGAGUUUUACUCUCUGUCCUCUUACACCUAUUCCUUCCUAUUUCCUAUUCCCUCCCUCAUCCAUCUCUCCUUCCUUUCAGUCUGUGACAUCAAUUCAUGGUGUGGGAAGCAGGAUGUGGAAUAGUUCACACAGCACCAUCAUAUGAAAGGACAAAAUCCCACAGGUCCUUGGCCCCAGUGGUCUCCCUAUCUCCAGCAGGAGGCUGCCCAGGCUGGACAUGGAAUGUCUCUGAUGACCUUGUCAAGGACCAGGUGGAAGAAGUCUGAGUGGACUUUUCAGCAGGGGUUGUUGUUGUUUCUGAGUUUCCUGUCUGGCCCAUCCACUACGUCCCCUACUGCUUGCAGAGGGCUGCCCUAACUUGCUUAUUUCUCUUUAACUCCAGUUUAAAACAGAGUGCAAAUGCCCAAGAGAAUCCAAUCUGUACAUAAAUUUUCAUAAUCCAUCAACAACAGAAGCUGGAAAUUCUUUACUGGAGUGUUGUGGCGAUGUGCCUCAGGGGAGGCAAAAGAGUUACGCUGUCUGACCCCAGACCCCUUUUGAAGGGCGGCCCAGGAGUACUGUUUGAGUUUGAGUCCCUGGGGGGUUUCUCCCUUACUGCAUUUCUAGUGGUUGCUGACCCUGAACUCCACCCUCAAGGGUGGAGACUGUUGGAAUUCUGUCCCUCAAAAACCCCAGCACUGCCAUUGUUCGGGGCUCUCUGUUCUGGAUCUGAGUUUGUUCCCGUGCUGAAUAAAUAGUUUCAUGAACUGGGA
Parus major (Great Tit) is the source of this 1078-nucleotide long non-coding RNA. RefSeq lists it as uncharacterized. The transcript is spliced from 2 exons. Lineage: Eukaryota; Metazoa; Chordata; Aves; Passeriformes; Paridae. The record is from RefSeq and is a predicted model, not a curated record.